AUACGGAGGGUGCAAGCGUUAAUCGGAAUUACUGGGCGUAAAGCGUACGUAGGCGGUUCGUUAAGUUAGAUGUGAAAGCCCCGGGCUUAACCUGGGAACUGCAUUUAAAACUGGCGAACUAGAGUUGAGUAGCGGGGAGUGGAAUUUCAGGUGUAGCGGUGAAAUGCGUAGAGAUCUGAAGGAACACCAGUGGCGAAGGCGACUCCCUGGACUCAAACUGACGCUGAGGUACGAAAGCGUGGGUAGCAAACGGGAUUAGAUACCCUAGUAGUCC
This 274-nucleotide ribosomal RNA is filed under the name uncultured bacterium. RNAcentral's name for it is "partial 16S ribosomal RNA". It matches the Rfam family "Bacterial small subunit ribosomal RNA", at positions 523 to 796 of the family's 1533-position model. The record is from RNAcentral.